GAUGAACGCUGGCGGCGUGCCUAAUACAUGCAAGUCGAGCGAACAGAUAAGGAGCUUGCUCCUUUGACGUUAGCGGCGGACGGGUGAGUAACACGUGGGUAACCUACCUAUAAGACUGGCAUAACUCCGGGAAACCGGGGCCAAUGCCGGAUAACAUUUAGAACCGCAUGGUUCUACAGAGAAAGACGGUUUUGCUAUAACUUAUAGAUGGACCCGCGCCGGAUUAGCUAGUUGGUAAGGUAACGGCUUACCAAGGCAACGAUACGUAGCCGACCUGAGAGGGUGAUCGGCCACACUGGAACUGAGACACGGUCCAGACUCCUACGGGAGGCAGCAGUAGGGAAUCUUCCGCAAUGGGCGAAAGCCUGACGGAGCAACGCCGCGUGAGUGAUGAAGGUCUGCGGAUCGUAAAACUCUGUUAUUAGGGAAGAACAAAUGUGUAAGUAACUAUGCACGUCUUGACGGUACCUAAUCAGAAAGCCACGGCUAACUACGUG
RNAcentral lists this ribosomal RNA (497 nucleotides) under uncultured bacterium. Its description in RNAcentral is "partial 16S ribosomal RNA". It matches the Rfam family "Bacterial small subunit ribosomal RNA", at positions 28 to 507 of the family's 1533-position model. The record is from RNAcentral.